GUGUAGGUAUAAACAAAAUAUUACAAAUUACCGGCCGUUCCUAGAGCAAGUGGCAAAGGGCUUGGUGGCUGGUACCCGAAAUCCAAGUUCGAAUCCUAGUUGAUUCAAAAUUUUAAUUAAGUUUAUUUUUAAAUGAAAUAAACGAAGCGAUAGCGCACUACCUAUCUCUCCAAAAAAAAAAACAAAAUAUAUAUUACAAAUUGAAAUCACAGCAACCG
RNAcentral lists this long non-coding RNA (218 nucleotides) under Ananas comosus (pineapple). Its description in RNAcentral is "long non-coding RNA (ACOM_LNC009848)". The record is from RNAcentral. Lineage: Eukaryota; Viridiplantae; Streptophyta; Magnoliopsida; Poales; Bromeliaceae.